Molecule: ribosomal RNA, 176 nt
Filed under: uncultured Verrucomicrobiota bacterium
Lineage: Bacteria; Pseudomonadati; Verrucomicrobiota
Description: uncultured Verrucomicrobia bacterium partial 16S ribosomal RNA
Rfam family: Bacterial small subunit ribosomal RNA
Source: RNAcentral
UGGGCUCGCGGCCUAUCAGCUUGUUGGUGAGGUAACGGCUCACCUAGGCUAUGACGGGUAGCUGGUCUGAGAGGACGAUCAGCCUCACUGGAACUGAGACACGGUCCAGACACCUACGGGUGGCAGCAGUCGAGAAUCAUUCACAAUGGGCGAAAGCCUGAUGGUGCAACGCCGCG